GCUACGGGUGGCAGCAGUGGGGAAUAUUGCACAAUGGGGGAAACCCUGAUGCAGCGACGCCGCGUGAGUGAGGAAGGAUUUCGGUAUGUAAAGCUCUAUCAGCAGGGAAGAAAAUGACGGUACCUGACUAAGAAGCCCCGGCUAACUACGUGCCAGCAGCCGCGGUAAUACGUAGGGGGCAAGCGUUAUCCGGAUUUACUGGGUGUAAAGGGAGCGUAGCCGGCUACGCAAGUCAGAAGUGAAAACCCAGGGCUCAACCUUGGGACUGCUUUUGAAACUGUGUAGCUAGAGUGCAGGUGAGGUAAGCGGACUUCCUCGUGUAGCGGUGAACUGCGUAGAUAUUAGGAGGAACACCAGUGGCGAAGGCGGCUUACUGGACUGUACCUGACGUUGAGGCUCGAACGCGUGGGGAGCAAACAGGAUUAGAUACCCUUGUAGUC
RNAcentral lists this ribosomal RNA (440 nucleotides) under uncultured bacterium. RNAcentral describes it as "partial 16S ribosomal RNA". It matches the Rfam family "Bacterial small subunit ribosomal RNA", at positions 338 to 795 of the family's 1533-position model. The record is from RNAcentral.